This 468-nucleotide ribosomal RNA is filed under the name uncultured bacterium. RNAcentral describes it as "partial 16S ribosomal RNA". It matches the Rfam family "Bacterial small subunit ribosomal RNA", at positions 28 to 507 of the family's 1533-position model. The record is from RNAcentral.
GACGAACGCUGGCGGCGUGCUUAACACAUGCAAGUCGAACGGAAAGGCCCUGCUUUUGUGGGGUGCUCGAGUGGCGAACGGGUGAGUAACACGUGAGUAACCUGCCCUUGACUUUGGGAUAACUUCAGGAAACUGGGGCUAAUACCGGAUAGGAGCUCCUGCUGCAUGGGGGGGAUUGGAGAGUUUCGGAGGUGGUGGAUGGAAUCGCGGCUAAUCAGCUGGUUGGUGGGGUAGUGGCUUACCAAGGCUUUGACGGGUAGCCGGCCUGAGCGGGUGACCGGCCACAUGGGGACUGAGAAAGGGCGCAGACUGCAACGGGAGGAAACGGUGGGGAAUAUUGCGAAAUGGGAGGAAGAGUGAUGUAAAACUGCCGCGAGCGAGAAGACGGCCUUCGAGUUGUAAACAGCUUUAUCCUGUGACGAGGCGUGAGUGACGGUAAUGGAUAAAGAAGCACCGGCUAACUACGUG